Molecule: ribosomal RNA, 492 nt
Filed under: uncultured bacterium
Lineage: Bacteria
Description: partial 16S ribosomal RNA
Rfam family: Bacterial small subunit ribosomal RNA
Source: RNAcentral
AGUGAACGCUGGCGGUAGGCCUAACACAUGCAAGUCGAACGGCAGCACAGUAAGAGCUUGCUCUUACGGGUGGCGAGUGGCGGACGGGUGAGGAAUACAUCGGAAUCUACUUUUUCGUGGGGGAUAACGUAGGGAAACUUACGCUAAUACCGCAUACGACCUACGGGUGAAAGUAGGGGAUCUUCGGACCUUGCGCGAUUGAAUGAGCCGAUGUCGGAUUAGCUAGUUGGCGGGGUAAAGGCCCACCAAGGCGACGAUCCGUAGCUGGUCUGAGAGGAUGAUCAGCCACACUGGAACUGAGACACGGUCCAGACUCCUACGGGAGGCAGCAGUGGGGAAUAUUGGACAAUGGGCGCAAGCCUGAUCCAGCCAUACCGAGUGGGUGAAGAAGGCCUUCGGGUUGUAAAGCCCUUUUGUUGGGAAAGAAAAGCAGCAGGUUAAUACCCCGCUGUUCUGACGGUACCCAAAGAAUAAGCACCGGCUAACUUCGUG